CAGCAGCCGCGGGAAAACGUAGGGUGCAAGCGUUAAUCGGAAUUACUGGGCGUAAAGCGUGCGCAGGCGGUUAUAUAAGACAGAUGUGAAAUCCCCGGGCUCAACCUGGGAACUGCAUUUGUGACUGUAUAGCUAGAGUACGGCAGAGGGGGAUGGAAUUCCGCGUGUAGCAGUGAAAUGCGUAGAUAUGCGGAGGAACACCGAUGGCGAAGGCAAUCCCCUGGGCCUGUACUGACGCUCAUGCACGAAAGCGUGGGGAGCAAACAGGAUUAGAUACCCCUGUAGUCCCUGUCUCUUAUAA
Molecule: ribosomal RNA, 301 nt
Filed under: uncultured bacterium
Lineage: Bacteria
Description: partial 16S ribosomal RNA
Rfam family: Bacterial small subunit ribosomal RNA
Source: RNAcentral